This 253-nucleotide ribosomal RNA is filed under the name uncultured bacterium. Its description in RNAcentral is "partial 16S ribosomal RNA". It matches the Rfam family "Bacterial small subunit ribosomal RNA", at positions 524 to 776 of the family's 1533-position model. The record is from RNAcentral.
UACGGAGGGGCCUAGCGUUGUUCGGAAUUACUGGGCGUAAAGCGCACGUAGGCGGUUUUGUAAGUUAGGGGUGAAAUCCCGGGGCUCAACCUCGGAACUGCCUUUGAUACUGCAAAUCUCGAGUCCGGAAGAGGUGAGUGGAAUUCCUAGUGUAGAGGUGAAAUUCGUAGAUAUUAGGAAGAACACCAGUGGCGAAGGCGGCUCACUGGUCCGGUACUGACGCUGAGGUGCGAAAGCGUGGGGAGCAAACAGG